UACGUAGGGCGCAAGCGUUAUCCGGAAUUAUUGGGCGUAAAGAGCUCGUAGGCGGCUUGUCACGUCGGGUGUGAAAGCCCGGGGCUUAACCCCGGGUCUGCAUUCGAUACGGGCUAGCUAGAGUGUGGUAGGGGAGAUCGGAAUUCCUGGUGUAGCGGUGAAAUGCGCAGAUAUCGGGAGGAACACCAGUGGCGAAGGCGGGCUUCUGGGCCAUCACUGACGCUAAGACGCGAAAGUUAGGGGAGCAAACAGG
RNAcentral lists this ribosomal RNA (253 nucleotides) under uncultured bacterium. Its description in RNAcentral is "partial 16S ribosomal RNA". It matches the Rfam family "Bacterial small subunit ribosomal RNA", at positions 524 to 776 of the family's 1533-position model. The record is from RNAcentral.